Rattus rattus (black rat) is the source of this 77-nucleotide small nucleolar RNA. RefSeq annotates it as small nucleolar RNA SNORD47. The record is from RefSeq and is a predicted model, not a curated record. NCBI's taxonomy places the organism in Eukaryota, Metazoa, Chordata, Mammalia, Rodentia, Muridae. The transcript has a single exon.
AACCAAGGAUGCGAUGAUUCCACCAAAUGAUACAAGUGGUAUCACCUUUGAAACCGGUUCAUUUUAUUUCUGAGGUC